Molecule: long non-coding RNA, 869 nt
Organism: Spinacia oleracea (spinach)
Lineage: Eukaryota; Viridiplantae; Streptophyta; Magnoliopsida; Caryophyllales; Amaranthaceae
Exons: 2
Source: RefSeq, a predicted model, not a curated record
UUCCCCGACCCUCUCACCUCAGCCCUUACUUCAAUGCAAAUCAUCACCACCACCACCACCUGUUAUUGCACCACUCCUUCACCACCACCAGAAAUCGCACCACACCACACCACAACCACCACCACAAACCGCAUCUUACCACCGCCACCAUCACCGCACACACUCUACUUGUCACUGCUCGAGAGAACUCCAACCACCGCGCCGGAGCAAUAACUGCGCCCAUCUGCUACUGCGUUCCAUCCCACCCACCGUGCCGGUCUGUAGACAAGCACUGGAGAUGCCGCGAAAGAGGGCUCCAAUGGCCCGGCCGUCCAACCCUUCGCCGGCGUCGCGUUUGAGAGAGCUACUGCGUGAUGUUGUGUGGUGAAAAAGGUGGUGGCCGGUGAUCGUGAGAUGGUGGUUAAGGAGAUGGUGGUGGAGAAGGUGAAGGAGGUGAAGGAGAUGGCGGUGGAGUCGGGGGUGAAGUGGAUGGUGGUGGAGAGGGAGCUGCCGGAAUUGGUGGUGGAGAAGGUGAAGGAGAUGGCGGUGGAGUUGGUGGUGAAGAGGGUAGUGGUGAAGGGCACAAAUGUCCUUUUGUGUAAAAUAUGCGGACAUUAUAAACGUAGGAGGACGUCGAAUAGCGAUACACAUAAAAAAUUGAAAACAAUACUUGAAAUGAAGGAAUACUGAAAUGGAUAAUGCAUAGUACUAUGUAAUGUACGUUAGAACAGAAGUACGUGGUAAUAUGUAUGAUGGUUUACCAACUUCGCAGUCUAUGGCACAGUUGUACCUUCUUUAUCAACAAGAUAAUGUAUAUCUAGUUGCUCAAAUAAUAGUGGCUCUAAUUACUGAAAAACUUAAUUGGAUAACAUGAUUAUCCUAUUAACGAA